RNAcentral lists this unclassified non-coding RNA (337 nucleotides) under soil metagenome. RNAcentral describes it as "partial contains 5.8S ribosomal RNA, internal transcribed spacer 2, and large subunit ribosomal RNA". The stretch from base 1 to 120 matches the Rfam family "5.8S ribosomal RNA", at positions 35 to 154 of the family's 154-position model. The record is from RNAcentral.
GAUGAAGAACGCAGCGAAAUGCGAUAAGUAGUGUGAAUUGCAGAAUUCAGUGAAUCAUCGAAUCUUUGAACGCACAUUACGCCCCUUGGUAUUCCAUGGGGCAUGCCUGUUCGAGCGUCAUUUGUACCUUCAAGCUCUGCUUGGUGUUGGGUGUUUGUCUCGCCUCUGCGUGUAGACUCGCCUCAAAACAAUUGGCAGCCGGCGUAUUGAUUUCGGAGCGCAGUACAUCUCGCGCUUUGCACUCAUAACGACGACGUCCAAAAGUACAUUUUUACACUCUUGACCUCGGAUCAGGUAGGGAUACCCGCUGAACUUAAGCAUAUCAAUAAGCGGAGGA